RNAcentral lists this ribosomal RNA (1533 nucleotides) under uncultured bacterium. RNAcentral describes it as "bacterial SSU rRNA". It matches the Rfam family "Bacterial small subunit ribosomal RNA". The record is from RNAcentral.
GAGUUUGAUCCUGGCUCACGACGAACGCUGGCGGCGUGCUUAACACAUGCAAGUCGAACGGAGAUUAACGUACCAGUUUACUGAGACUUUAAUCUUAGUGGCGGACGGGUGAGUAAUGCGUGGGUAACCUGCCCCAAAGGCCGGGAUAACAGUUGGAAACGGCUGCUAAUACCGGAUAACCUCGAGGGAAGGCAUCUUCUUUCGAGGAAAGGUGGCCUCUGAAUAUGCUACCAUUUUGGGAUGGACCCGCGUCUGAUUAGCUAGUUGGUAGGGUAGUGGCCUACCAAGGCCACGAUCAGUAGCCGGCCUGACAGGGUGACCGGCCACACUGGGACUGACACACGGCCCAGACUCCUACGGGAGGCAGCAGUGGGGAAUCUUCCGCAAUGGGCGAAAGCCUGACGGACCAACGCCGCGUGAAUGAAGAAGGCCUUCGGGUCGUAAAGUUCUGUCAUUUGGGAAGAAGUCUUUUCAUGUAAACAAUGUGAAAAGGUGACCGUACCAAAGGAGGAAGCUCCGGCUAACUACGUGCCAGCAGCCGCGGUAACACGUAAGGAGCGAGCGUUGUCCGCGAAUUACUGGGCGCAAACGGCCCGUAGGCCGGAAAUUAAUUCAGGUGUGAAACCUCCGAGCUCAACUUGGAGAUUGCACUUGAAACUGGUAUUCUUGAGGGCAGGAGAGGAAAGGGGAAUUCCUACUGUAGCGGUGAAAUGCGUAGAUAUUAGGAGGAACACCAGUGGCCAAGGCGACUUUCUGGACUGCACCUGACGCUGAUGCGCGAAAGCGUGGGUAGCGAACGGGAUUAGAUACCCCGGUAGUCCACGCUGUAAACGAUGGGUACUAGGUGUAGGAGGUAUCGACCCCUUCUGUGCCGCAGUUAACGCAAUAAGUACCCCGCCUGGGGAGUACGGCCGCAAGGCUGAAACUCAAAGGAAUUGACGGGGACCCGCACAAGCGGUGGAGCAUGUGGUUUAAUUCGACGCAACGCGAAGAACCUUACCAGGGCUUGACAUCCCUCGCCAGUCAUGGAAACAUGAUGUUUUACCCUUCGGGGUAAACGAGGAGACAGGUGGUGCAUGGUUGUCGUCAGCUCGUGUCGUGAGAUGUUGGGUUAAGUCCCGCAACGAGCGCAACCCCUACUUUUAGUUGCCAGCAUUUCGGAUGGGCACUCUAAAGGAACUGCCGGUGACAAACCGGAGGAAGGUGGGGAUGACGUCAAAUCAUCAUGCCCUUUAUGUUCUGGGCUACACACGUGCUACAAUGGCCGGUACAGAGGGUAGCGAAGCCGUGAGGUGGAGCCAAUCCCAAAAAGCCGGUCUCAGUUCGGAUUGCAGGCUGCAACUCGCCUGCAUGAAGUCGGAAUCGCUAGUAAUCGCGAGUCAGCAUAUCGCGGUGAAUACGUUCCCGGGUCUUGUACACACCGCCCGUCACACCACGAAAGUUGGCAACACCCGAAGUCGAUGAGCUAACCGCAAGGAAGCAGUCGCCGAAGGUGGGGCUGAUGAUUGGGGUGAAGUCGUAACAAGGUAACCG